UGUUUUCACGACGCAGACGGGAAGCCCAGAUGAAUCCCUGAACGCCUGUGUGAUAGAGCGCAAGGCAACAGGAAGCUGUUAAUAAGUGGUUUAGUAUGGUGUUGUUUUCCUGUCGUAACACAUGAGAAGGAAUUCAUAUAGUGUUUAUGUGUGUGUGUGUGUGUGUGUGUGUGUGUGUGUGUGUGUGUGUGUGUGUGUGUGUGUGUCUGAGAAAGAGAGAGAGAGAAAAAGAAGAUCACUUUAUAUACAAAAAAGCAGGUACUGCAAAGCUGGAAGAGCAUCAACACGCUAUACAACAGCAGUCAGGAGUAACUGUGAGGGGAAAAGAGGAGAGGAGGGGGGGAGGGGGAGA
Tachysurus fulvidraco (yellow catfish) is the source of this 352-nucleotide long non-coding RNA. RefSeq lists it as uncharacterized. The transcript has 2 exons. Lineage: Eukaryota; Metazoa; Chordata; Actinopteri; Siluriformes; Bagridae. The record is from RefSeq and is a predicted model, not a curated record.